Molecule: ribosomal RNA, 301 nt
Filed under: uncultured bacterium
Lineage: Bacteria
Description: partial 16S ribosomal RNA
Rfam family: Bacterial small subunit ribosomal RNA
Source: RNAcentral
CAGCCGCCGCGGUAAUACAGAGGGUGCGAGCGUUAAUCGGAUUUACUGGGCGUAAAGCGUGCGUAGGCGGCUUUUUAAGUCGGAUGUGAAAUCCCCGAGCUUAACUUGGGAAUUGCAUUCGAUACUGGGAAGCUAGAGUAUGGGAGAGGAUGGUAGAAUUCCAGAUGUAGCGGUGAAAUGCGUAGAGAUCUGGAGGAAUACCGAUGGCGAAGGCAGCCAUCUGGCCUAAUACUGACGCUGAGGUACGAAAGCAUGGGGAGCAAACAGGAUUAGAUACCCCUGUAGUCCCUGUCUCUUAUAA